UACGGAGGAGGCAAGUGUUAUCCGGAAUUACUGGGCGUAAAGCGUCCGUAGGUGGUUGACCAAGUCUGCUGUCAAAGGGUGGGGCUUAACCUCAUAAAGGCAGUGGAAACUGGCGAGCUAGAGUGCGGUAGGGGUAGGGGGAAUUCCCAGUGUAGCGGUGAAAUGCGUAGAGAUUGGGAAGAACAUCGGUGGCGAAAGCGCCCUGCUGGGCCUGCACUGACACUGAGGGACGAAAGCUAGGGGAGCGAAAGGG
RNAcentral lists this ribosomal RNA (253 nucleotides) under uncultured bacterium. RNAcentral describes it as "partial 16S ribosomal RNA". It matches the Rfam family "Bacterial small subunit ribosomal RNA", at positions 524 to 776 of the family's 1533-position model. The record is from RNAcentral.